Populus trichocarpa (black cottonwood) is the source of this 782-nucleotide long non-coding RNA. RefSeq lists it as uncharacterized. The transcript has 3 exons. Lineage: Eukaryota; Viridiplantae; Streptophyta; Magnoliopsida; Malpighiales; Salicaceae. The record is from RefSeq and is a predicted model, not a curated record.
UGAAGUGGCAGAGAGUGUUCUUCAUUUAAUUAAUUGUUGUCUUCUUAAUUUUCAGUCCUUUCGUUUUCUUCCCCUAAUCAUCAUUUUCCAAAAAAAGAAAAGAAAAAAAAAGCCUUGAGAGAUCAUAAUUAUAGUAACACUACAUACAUUAAGGAUUAUAUUUGUGGUUGCAAUCGAUUGAUAGAGAGGUUGUGGGUGUCUAAGUGAUCGUGAUUCUUCCAUUCGUUCCUGUCUCUACGUACUACAAACAAGGUGUUUAACUGAUCAUUGUGAAUUUCUCCUUCGUUUAUCUCUUUACUAUCAAUUAUCUCAAGUCUAAGUGAUGUGAUCCAAGCACCAAAGGAUCCAUUAGAGGUUCCGGUUGGUCCACUUACAAGGCUUAGAGUUAAGAGCUUCAAAGAGGUUUUCAAUGGACUUCUUCAAGAUAUAUGGGUCAAGGUGGAUUUCAAGAGGAUAUUAAAUAAUGAGGAGCAAGCCGUGAUUAAUCUGAUUCAUGUUCAAGAAGGGCUUGUUGGUGGAACCAAGACCAUUACACAAGGAUUGGGAGAAAAAGACUAGAUUCGGUCAGUUUGACCUUUCACUACCUUUUGUUUUAUCAUAAAUGGAGCUACAGGUCGAAUGUUUAGGUGAUUCUAGUUGGGACGGAAACUAGACUUCCAUACCUUUCCAACUGUUCAUGACACGCCUUUAAAUUCUUUAAGAUAAGAGAGAACCAUCCAUGUGAAUUUGGGAUUUGCUGCUACCAGACAGAAUGCGAGAAUAACCGAACUUUUCUUAUUAAA